RNAcentral lists this ribosomal RNA (477 nucleotides) under uncultured Marinomonas sp. RNAcentral's name for it is "bacterial SSU rRNA". It matches the Rfam family "Bacterial small subunit ribosomal RNA", at positions 97 to 570 of the family's 1533-position model. Lineage: Bacteria; Pseudomonadati; Pseudomonadota; Gammaproteobacteria; Oceanospirillales; Oceanospirillaceae. The record is from RNAcentral.
GGCGGACGGGUGAGUAACGCGUAGGAAUCUGCCUAGUAGUGGGGGACAACAUGUGGAAACGCAUGCUAAUACCGCAUACGCCCUGAGGGGGAAAGGAGGGGAUCUUAGGACCUUUCGCUAUUAGAUGAGCCUGCGUGAGAUUAGCUAGUUGGUGAGGUAAAGGCUCACCAAGGCGACGAUCUCUAGCUGGUCUGAGAGGAUGAUCAGCCACACUGGGACUGAGACACGGCCCAGACUCCUACGGGAGGCAGCAGUGGGGAAUAUUGGACAAUGGGCGCAAGCCUGAUCCAGCCAUGCCGCGUGUGUGAAGAAGGCCUUAGGGUUGUAAAGCACUUUCAGGAGUGAGGAAGGGUGUACGGUUAAUACCCGUAUAUUUUGACGUUAGCUCCAGAAGAAGCACCGGCUAACUCUGUGCCAGCAGCCGCGGUAAUACAUAGGGUGCAAGCGUUAAUCGGAAUUACUGGGCGUAAAGCGCGC